RNAcentral lists this ribosomal RNA (474 nucleotides) under uncultured bacterium. Its description in RNAcentral is "partial 16S ribosomal RNA". It matches the Rfam family "Bacterial small subunit ribosomal RNA", at positions 28 to 507 of the family's 1533-position model. The record is from RNAcentral.
GACGAACGCUGGCGGCGUGCUUAACACAUGCAAGUCGAGCGGUAAGGCUCCUUCGGGAGUACACGAGCGGCGAACGGGUGAGUAACACGUGAGUAAUCUGCCCUUCACUUCGGGAUAACCACCGGAAACGGUGGCUAAUACCGAAUACGACCAGUCUUCGCAUGAGGUGCUGGUGGAAAGUCUUUUCGGUGAAGGAUGUGCUCGCGGCCUAUCAGCUUGUUGGUGGGGGAAUGGCCUACCAAGGCUUCGACGGGUAGCCGGCCUGAGAGGGUGACCGGCCAAACUGGGACUGAGACACGGCCCAGACUCCUACGGGAGGCAGCAGUGGGGAAUAUUGGACAAUGGGCGAAAGCCUGAUCCAGCAACGCCGCGUGAGGGAUGACGGCCUUCGGGUUGUAAACCUCUUUCAGUACCGACGAAGCGCCCUGUCGGGUGGUGACGGUAGGUACAGAAGAAGGACCGGCCAACUACGUG